GUAGGUGGCAAGCGUUGUCCGGAAUUAUUGGGCGUAAAGCGCGCGCAGGCGGUUCUUUAAGUCUGAUGUGAAAGCCCACGGCUCAACCGUGGAGGGUCAUUGGAAACUGGAGAACUUGAGUACAGAAGAGGAAAGCGGAAUUCCACGUGUAGCGGUGAAAUGCGUAGAGAUGUGGAGGAACACCAGUGGCGGAGGCGGCUUUCUGGUCUGUAACUGACGCUGAGGCGCGAAAGCGUGGGGAGCAAACAGGAUUAGAUACCCUGGUAGUCCACGCCGUAAACGAUGAGUGCUAAGUGUUAGGGGGUUUCCGCCCCCCUUAGUGCUGCAGCUAACGCAUUAAGCACUCCGCCUGGGAGUACGGCCGCAAGGCUG
Molecule: ribosomal RNA, 372 nt
Filed under: uncultured organism
Description: partial 16S ribosomal RNA
Rfam family: Bacterial small subunit ribosomal RNA
Source: RNAcentral